CGGCUUGUCUAGCUCGUGUCGUGAGAUGUUGGGUUAAGUCCCCGAACGAGCGCAACCCACGUAUUUAGUUGCUAACGGUUCGGCCGAGCACUCUAAAUAGACUGCCUUCGUAAGGAGGAGGAAGGUGUGGACGACGUCAAGUCAUCAUGGCCCUUAUGCCCAGGGCGACACACGUGCUACAAUGGCAUAUACAAUGAGACGCAAUACCGCGAGGUGGAGCAAAUCUAUAAAAUAUGUCCCAGUUCGGAUUGUUCUCUGCNACUCGAGAGCAUGAAGCCGGAAUCGCUAGUAAUCGUAGAUCAGCCAUGCUACGGUNAAUACGUUCC
RNAcentral lists this ribosomal RNA (326 nucleotides) under Campylobacter coli. Its description in RNAcentral is "bacterial SSU rRNA". It matches the Rfam family "Bacterial small subunit ribosomal RNA", at positions 1046 to 1374 of the family's 1533-position model. Lineage: Bacteria; Pseudomonadati; Campylobacterota; Epsilonproteobacteria; Campylobacterales; Campylobacteraceae. The record is from RNAcentral.